UGAGCAAUCUGCCCUUCUCAUCGGAAUAAGCGUUGGAAACGACGUCUAAUGCCGAAUACGACCUCCUUUCGCAUGAUCGGAGGUGGAAAGCUCCGGCGGAGAAGGAUGAGCUCGCGGCCUAUCAGCUAGUUGGUGUGGGUAAUGGCCUACCAAGGCGUCGACGGGUAGCCGGCCUGAGAGGGCGACCGGCCACACGUGGGACUGAGACACCGGCCCAGACCUCCGUACGGGAGC
This 234-nucleotide ribosomal RNA is filed under the name uncultured bacterium. Its description in RNAcentral is "partial 16S ribosomal RNA". It matches the Rfam family "Bacterial small subunit ribosomal RNA", at positions 118 to 347 of the family's 1533-position model. The record is from RNAcentral.